UUGGAAGGGACCGUCGUGAUCGGGGCGUA
RNAcentral lists this small RNA (29 nucleotides) under Bombyx mori (domestic silkworm). RNAcentral describes it as "ovarian small RNA-37981". Lineage: Eukaryota; Metazoa; Arthropoda; Insecta; Lepidoptera; Bombycidae. The record is from RNAcentral.